GCCUCGUUGGCGUAGUGGUAGCGCGUCUCACUUGUAGCUUACGUAGUUACUACGUAAUAUGACAUGAGAAGGUCACUCGUUCAAUCCGGGUACGAGGCA
Molecule: transfer RNA, 99 nt
Filed under: Agrocybe pediades
Lineage: Eukaryota; Fungi; Basidiomycota; Agaricomycetes; Agaricales; Agrocybaceae
Rfam family: tRNA
About the family: Transfer RNA (tRNA) molecules are approximately 80 nucleotides in length.
Source: Rfam by way of RNAcentral